ACGCUCGACACCUACGGGGGCAGCAGUGGGGAAUAUUGCACAAUGGGGGAAACCCGUAGAUGCAGCGACGCCGCGUGAGCGAAGAAGUAUCUCGGUAUGUAAAGCUCUAUCAGCAGGGAAGAAGAUGACGGUACCUGACUAAGAAGCACCGGCUAAAUACGUGCCAGCAGCCGCGGUAAUCUGAGCGGGCUGGCAAGGC
RNAcentral lists this ribosomal RNA (199 nucleotides) under uncultured bacterium. RNAcentral's name for it is "partial 16S ribosomal RNA". It matches the Rfam family "Bacterial small subunit ribosomal RNA", at positions 328 to 539 of the family's 1533-position model. The record is from RNAcentral.